UACGUAGGGGGCAAGCGUUGUCCGGAAUUAUUGGGCGUAAAGAGCGUGUAGGCGGUCCGGUAAGUCAGCUGUGAAAGUCAAGGGCUCAACCCUUGAAUGCCGGUUGAUACUGUCGGGCUAGAGUCCGGAAGAGGCGAGUGGAAUUCCCGGUGUAGCGGUGAAAUGCGCAGAUAUCAGGAAGAACACCAAUGGCGAAGGCAGCUCUCUGGGACGGUACUGACACUAAGGCGCGAAAGCGUGGGGAGCGAACAGG
Molecule: ribosomal RNA, 253 nt
Filed under: uncultured bacterium
Lineage: Bacteria
Description: partial 16S ribosomal RNA
Rfam family: Bacterial small subunit ribosomal RNA
Source: RNAcentral